RNAcentral lists this ribosomal RNA (1059 nucleotides) under uncultured Cryobacterium sp. RNAcentral describes it as "bacterial SSU rRNA". It matches the Rfam family "Bacterial small subunit ribosomal RNA", at positions 337 to 1394 of the family's 1533-position model. The record is from RNAcentral. Lineage: Bacteria; Bacillati; Actinomycetota; Actinomycetes; Micrococcales; Microbacteriaceae.
UCCUACGGGAGGCAGCAGUGGGGAAUAUUGCACAAUGGGCGCAAGCCUGAUGCAGCAACGCCGCGUGAGGGACGAAGGCCUUCGGGUUGUAAACCUCUUUUAGUAGGGAAGAAGCGACUGGGUUUUCCUGGGAGUGACGGUACCUGCAGAAAAAGCACCGGCUAACUACGUGCCAGCAGCCGCGGUAAUACGUAGGGUGCAAGCGUUGUCCGGAAUUAUUGGGCGUAAAGAGCUCGUAGGCGGUUUGUCGCGUCUGCUGUGAAAACCCGAGGCUCAACCUCGGGCCUGCAGUGGGUACGGGCAGACUAGAGUGCGGUAGGGGAGAUUGGAAUUCCUGGUGUAGCGGUGGAAUGCGCAGAUAUCAGGAGGAACACCAAUGGCGAAGGCAGAUCUCUGGGCCGUAACUGACGCUGAGGAGCGAAAGCAUGGGGAGCGAACAGGAUUAGAUACCCUGGUAGUCCAUGCCGUAAACGUUGGGAACUAGAUGUGGGGACCAUUCCACGGUCUCCGUGUCGCAGCUAACGCAUUAAGUUCCCCGCCUGGGGAGUACGGCCGCAAGGCUAAAACUCAAAGGAAUUGACGGGGGCCCGCACAAGCGGCGGAGCAUGCGGAUUAAUUCGAUGCAACGCGAAGAACCUUACCAAGGCUUGACAUAUACCGGAAACGGCUGGAAACAGUCGCCCCGCAAGGUCGGUAUACAGGUGGUGCAUGGUUGUCGUCAGCUCGUGUCGUGAGAUGUUGGGUUAAGUCCCGCAACGAGCGCAACCCUCGUCCUAUGUUGCCAGCACGUAAUGGUGGGAACUCAUGGGAUACUGCCGGGGUCAACUCGGAGGAAGGUGGGGAUGACGUCAAAUCAUCAUGCCCCUUAUGUCUUGGGCUUCACGCAUGCUACAAUGGCCGGUACAAAGGGCUGCGAUACCGCAAGGUGGAGCGAAUCCCAAAAAGCCGGUCUCAGUUCGGAUUGAGGUCUGCAACUCGACCUCAUGAAGUCGGAGUCGCUAGUAAUCGCAGACCAGCAACGCUGCGGUGAAUACGUUCCCGGGCCUUGUACACACCGCC